ACCUCAGUUGCGCAUCCCGAGUAGGGCCGGGCACGUGAAACCCGGUCCGAAGCCGGGGGGACCACCCUCCAAGGCUGAACACUCUCCUGUGACCGAUAGCGAACCAGUACCGUGAGGGAAAGGUGAAAAGCACCCCGAGAGGGGAGUGAAACAGUACCUGAAACCGUGCGCCCACAAGCAGUCGGAGCAGCCUUGCGCUGUGACGGCGUGCCUUUUGUAGAAUGAGCCAGCGAGUUGCGGUGUGCGGCGAGGUUAAGUUUGAAACGAGCCGCAGCGAAAGCGAGCCUUUAAGAUGGCGAGUGAGUCGCACGCUGCAGACGCGAAGCCGGGUGAGCUAUCCAUGGGCAGGCUGAAGCGGGGGUAAGACCCCGUGGAGGGCCGAACCCACUUCGGUUGAAAACGGAGGGGAUGACCCGUGGAUAGGGGUGAAAGGCCAAUCAAACCCGGAGAUAUCUCGUUCUCCCCGAAAUAGCUUUAGGGCUAGCCUCGGCCGUUAACCCGCGGUGGUAGAGCCACCGGAUCCCUGAGGGGGCCUCACCGCCUACCGACGGGAGCCGAACUCCGAAUGCCGCGGGUCCACAGGCCGGGAGUCAGAGGGCGUGGGCUAAGCUGCGCGCUCGAGAGGGAAACAGCCCAGACCGCCCGCUAAGGUCCCCAAGUCAUCGCUGAGUGGCAAAGGAUGUGCGUCUGCCCAGACAACCAGGAUGUUGGCUUAGAAGCAGCCAUGCAUUUAAAGAGUGCGUAACAGCUCACUGGUCGAGUGGACAUGCGCCGACAAUUCACGGGGCUAAGCGAUGCACCGAAGCGGCGGACUGAUUCUUUCAGUGGUAGGGGAGCUCUCCGCGCUGCGGCGAAGCGGGUGCGCGAGCAUCCGUGGAGCGCGCGGAGGUGAGAAUGCUGGCAUGAGUAACGAGAGCGGCGCGAGAAACGCCGCCGCCGUGAGCCUAAGGGUUCCUGGGCGAGGCUAAUCCCCCCAGGGUCAGUCGGGAGCUAAGGCGAGGCCGGGAGGCGUAGCCGAUGCGCAGCGGGCAGACAUUCCCGCACCGCCGACGGCGCGGCAUUACCGAUGGGGCGACGGAGAAGGGUAGCCGGGCGGGGUUCUGGACGUCCCCGUGAAAGCGCGUAGGGCGGUCCGCAUGGAAAUCAGCGGGCCGUAUAGCCUGAGACGCGAGACGAAGCGAUAGAGCGAAGCCGGUGAGCCCAUGCUUCCGAGAAAAACCUCUAGGGAGUGCCGUCGGCGCCCGUACCAAAACCGACACAGGUGGGCGGGUAGAACAUACCGAGGCGAUCGGGAGAACCACGGUUAAGGAACUCGGCAUACUGGCCCCGUAACUUCGGGAGAAGGGGCGCCCCCGCCGGUGAAGGACCUCGCGUCCGGAGCUAGUGGGGGC
Molecule: ribosomal RNA, 1391 nt
Filed under: Enterorhabdus sp. NM05_H27
Lineage: Bacteria; Bacillati; Actinomycetota; Coriobacteriia; Eggerthellales; Eggerthellaceae
Description: partial 23S ribosomal RNA
Rfam family: Bacterial large subunit ribosomal RNA
Source: RNAcentral